RNAcentral lists this long non-coding RNA (617 nucleotides) under Equus caballus (horse). Its description in RNAcentral is "lncRNA (ENSECAG00000051929.1)". The record is from RNAcentral. Lineage: Eukaryota; Metazoa; Chordata; Mammalia; Perissodactyla; Equidae.
CUGAGUGUGACAGCCAGCCCCAGAAACAAAGCCUAGAAACGCCUGUGUUUAAAAUGAGAAGGCCAAAGCUUCUGGGAAGGAUGAUCUAUUUUAUGAUGCCUCAAAGUUUCAGAAUGACUGUAGCCCCCCUCACCUCCUCUGGGCUGAACACCAUCAUCUAGCCUCUGACACUCGGGUCUGGAGACAGAGGGGGUUGAGGGGGAGGCAAUUGCAGCUGGCAGGAACCUUGCUUUUCAAGAACCUGGACCCCAGGACAACUCUGGUUGAGGCUCCCCAAGUCCCUCAAGAUUGCUCACUCUGGGGGAAGCCAGCUGCCAUGUCAGGAGGACACUCAAGCAGCCUCAUGGAGAAACUCAUGUGGCAAGGAACAGAGGGCUCCUGCCAGCAGCCACACACGUGAGCUGUCUUAGAAGCAGCUCCUCCAGCCCCAGUAAAGCCUUCAGACGACUGCAGCCCUAGCUGACAUCUUGACCUCAUCCCAUGAAAGACCAUGAGCCAAAGCACCCAGCUGAGUUGCUCCCAAAUUCCUGACCCACAGAAACUGUGUGAGAUAAUAAAUUGUUAUUUAAGCCACUAAGUGUUGAAGGAAUUUUUAAAGAGUGAUAGAUAAUUAAUGC